This is a long non-coding RNA of Symphalangus syndactylus (siamang), 914 nucleotides long. RefSeq lists it as uncharacterized. The record is from RefSeq and is a predicted model, not a curated record. Lineage: Eukaryota; Metazoa; Chordata; Mammalia; Primates; Hylobatidae.
AGGCCAUAUACUGUGCUGGAGGGUCACCGAGUUUUAGAUCCAGACAGACAGAACUAGAGUCAAAAUGCCUUAUCAACCACUUACUAGUUUGGUGACUGUGUGCAAGUUCCUUAAUCUAAGCUAUAUGAAUGAGGAAUAUAUGAAACAGUACGUGUUAGCUAUUAAUAUUAGUAAGCAGAUAUUUAUCCAUUUUUUUCUUAAAUUCUGCGAGUGCUAGGAAUCACACAACUCCUCAGGGCCGCUAGUUCCAACACUAGAUAGUCAUCAUUUUUGGAAAAGUCUCAGUUCCUUCAACAAACAUUCCUCAGGUGUCCACUAUAUACUAAGCAUGUUCUAGAGCAUGAGACAAAGGGAUGCCUGAAAAUAGAGUAUUUGGCCUCAUAAAGUUCCUAGUCUAGCAGGAGAGCUCAGCAUCAUUUGUAAAUCAGAUUCUCUCUCCUUGGAAUUCAGAAUUAGAACUGAGAGACACUCAAAGAGUCUGGACUGUCUUCUGAGCAGAGAAUAAAAAGUAGCUAUCAUCUGCCCACCACAGACAUGGAAAAACAAGAAAGACAGUUUGCAGAGAGGAGAGAAUGAAACAGGACUGUAGAGAGAAGCAGAGACAAGAAAUGGAUCUUCCCAUCUCGUCAUGAGCUUCCACUUCCAGUGCUUGAGGUAUUUUGCAGACCCUGUACUCAGUGGAUCAGCUGGCAUCACCCAGAUGGAUAAACUGCCUCAUCUGGUCUUCUGGCCCCACCCAGGAACUGAUUCAGCACAAGAGGACAGCUUCAACUUCCUAUGAUUUCAUCUGUGACCCCACCAAUCAGCACACUCCACUUUCCAACUCACUACUCACCAAAUUGUCCUUAAAAACCCUGAUCCCUGAGUUUUUGGGGAGACUGAUUUGAGUAAUAAUAAAACUCCAGUCUCCUGUA